Long non-coding RNA from Eucalyptus grandis, 1543 nucleotides. RefSeq lists it as uncharacterized. The transcript is spliced from 2 exons. The record is from RefSeq and is a predicted model, not a curated record. Lineage: Eukaryota; Viridiplantae; Streptophyta; Magnoliopsida; Myrtales; Myrtaceae.
UUUCAAUCCCCGGCCAAAAGUCUUCAACUGUUGCUUGAAGCAAGAGGUCCGGGACGACAGGUAAACAUCGUAUCCUCCCAUGAAAUCCCUCUCACCUUUUUCUCUCCCGACUCCGGAUCAUCCGCGGCGAGGAGCAGAAUAGUGGGUGAUGAGUGAGGCGGAUGAAUUCACCACUACACUGUCUUCUUCCCCAAAAGCGAAAGGAGUCGCCAUCACCAUCGAGAUCGAGCUUGAAAAAGAAGAUGAAAAACCAGGAAAGAACAAGAACACAACAAACCAGUCAGGACUUGAGAAACUGCCCACCCUCCCCCCUCCAUUAAAUUAUGCAGACCAACUUCCUGCGGGAGUCCAACUUCAACUUAAGUAAACAUUGAUUCUGGUCCGGUGUUGUUCCCCAUUAACACUCCACUCAAAUCUAACCUCCCCCGAAUAAAAUAAUCCCACCCCACCUCCCUCGUCCUCUCUCUCUCUCUCUCUCUCUCUGUGCGCGUGUGGCACAGGGUGUCUCUUGUCUGUAACUGUUCAGUUCUUGGGGUUGCUUGGAGUACACAGGGCAUUUCAAUUCGUGGGUCGGUUUCGGUUUCGUGGAAUUAAUUUCGUGCUGGUGGAGAGGGAGGCGUUUAUGGUGGUCAGAGCCUCUGCGGGUUCCAGAGCAUGUUGUUUAGUCGCAGAGAGAUUGAUUAAAUCUCUCUUCUUUCCUUUUUUUUUCUUUUGUGUUCCCUCCACCAAAGGGAAGGGAAGAAAAAAGAGAAUUUAUUGCGUUGCUUUGCUCUCACUGUACGCGGGGGUCCCUGGCUUGCUGAUCUGAUUCCCUUCCUCCACGAUCUUGCUUCAAGUGUUAUCAAGUCUCUUGAUUUAGCAAUCUUCUCUUUUUGUAGAGUAGAAUUUCUUUUUUAGCUAUUGUAUUUGGGUUUUAUUGGUUAUCAAGAUCCUCGUUGAGGGAGCUGGGGUUGUAAGGAUUGGGAUUUGGUGUUGAAUGAGAUUUGGGGUGGUGAUGCAAGUGAUCAUUGUCCAGCAGGUUCUGCUCUGUAUCAUCAGCUUUGCUUCAGCUGUCCAGGAUCUGCAGUGAUUCGUCUACAAUGACUAAGCCAGAGCAUGAAUUUAGGAGAGGUAUCCGGCAGAGGCAUGUCAGAUCCGUCAUUUGAGCUAUUGUUCUUCUCUUGAUUUCAAUGUGCAAUUUUUAUGCGGAAUUGUGUAAAAAUUGCACUUGGCGGUCCUUAAUUGCAAGUUCUAGUUCGAUGUUUUCCCGAAUUAAAAUCGUAGGUUUCAGCAUUGUCUCCACAGCUAAAGCUUUCCCAUCUGGGAAUUGCUUGCUAGAUGACGGUUUACCCCAUGAACGGCCAGGCAUGGUUUGCAUAGACGUUUAUGCAAUUGGCAAAUUUUUCCUACGCCAUUUUUCUCUUCAAUUGUACUGGAGCUAAGGAGUGAACAGCUCCAAAUCAACGGGAGAAUUAUCAAAAAAGUCCUAAACAUUUCAGCUUCAAUUGUACCAUUUCGGUCCUAAACUUUUUUUUGGACCAAUUUAGUCCUAAACAUUUUAUAA